Balaenoptera ricei (Rice's whale) is the source of this 1247-nucleotide long non-coding RNA. RefSeq lists it as uncharacterized. NCBI's taxonomy places the organism in Eukaryota, Metazoa, Chordata, Mammalia, Artiodactyla, Balaenopteridae. The transcript has 4 exons. The record is from RefSeq and is a predicted model, not a curated record.
AAAUGAAGUCCAUCCAGUGUCUACAUCUUAUUGAGAAAAAUCUGUGAAGCUAAUGCAGAAAGAAGAAUCCAAAUAGACCAAAAUAAAUGUUCCCAUCCUGAGCCAAGAAAAAAAAAAAAAAAAGAAAGAAAGAAACCAUAACUUCCUUUCUCAGCUGGAUUCUAAGCUUCUUAUGUGCCUUUUUCAUGAGCACGGGUUCUAGGCACACCGGCUUCAGUAGUUGUGGCGCACGGGCUUAGCUGCUCCAUGGCAUAUGGGAUCUUCCCGGAUCAAGGAUCGAACCCGUGUCCCCUGCAUUGGCAGGCAGAUUCUUAACCACUGUGCCACCAGGGAAGUCCAGCACUGAGGAAAGUAUAUGUGAGGACAUAGCCAGAAGUACAAGCCAGGAAGAGAGCCCUCACAAAACACUAAAUUGGCUGGAUUCUAUCUUCCAGAACUGUUUACAGGAACAUUGUGACCAGACAUAUGUGGACAAUUGCAAGAACAAAGGAUUAUCACAUCCUCUCCAGGAUCUGGCUGGCAUGGAAAUGACUGAGACAACCAGUCACACACACACACACCCCAUUAGUAUAAAAGAAGCCUGAAUUUUAACUCUGGUAGGAUGAUUCUUUGGAACAUCAGUCCACCAUCUUCUCAGUCUGCUUGCUUUCCAAAUAAAGUCACCAUUCUGUGUCCCAACACCUCCUCUCUCAACUUAUUGACCUGUCCUGAGGUGAGCAGUACCAGCUUGGACUCAGUAACAAGAUGCUACUAUUCAUAUCAUAUUCUGAAUGGAAGGCUCACAGAAACUAUAUGUAAUAAGGUAAAAAAAAAAAAAAAAAAAAAGGUGCAGAGCUAAAAUUUAACUGAAAGUAGAAGCCCAUUAAUUGUACAACUAUAUAAUUUAUAAAUAAUAAUUUUGUUGCAAGAGGCUUACAAUUUACUUUCUACAGAGUCUAAGGAGAUGUACUAUGCACAGGGGAAGACAUACAAUUGAUCAAUUCAUCCUAAGAUAAAGCAUUGAUAGGCAUUCUCCCUCUCUGAAGUCUCCAAACUUAGGGAGUACCAGUUUUAUAUAUUUAUUUGACAUGUAUAUAUAUUUGAUUAUAUAUUUAUAAAUUUGAUUUAAUUUUCCAGAAAUCAGGGAAUGUGAAUGCUUUGAUAACCUUUAUUUCUCCAGUGUGUAGCAUGAUGUCUAGCCAGAGUACAUAAUCCAUAAAUAUUUGCUCUAUGAAUAAAUGAAUUCUGAAUAAUAAGAAAAAUAAAGA